CCAAAGAAUGUGGAUUGAGUUAACUAUCAUGGUUCAAGAAGAGCUUCUAACACUUGCUGUUGAUCUAGGGUUCUGUGAGCAGGUCAAGGGUGCCUGGAUAACAUGUCUCCUUCCCUGUAAGCAAACAUCCUCUCAGGUUGCAACAUCCUUCACUGGCUAGCGGCAACCUGUGUUUUUCAAGGUGGUAAGAGAUGUCACUUCUACCUUCCUUCAAUUUUGCUUCAAGAUGCAAAGACCCUUCCCUGAGUCAAAACUCAGGUAGACACCUCCCACCUAUAGAGGGAAGCUCUGGUUGUGUUCUUUCAGCAAGUCUCUCCUCUGCUCAGCUCUUCAUAGCUGUGGAGAUGCAAGGAAAGAACAAAAGUCUUGUUACCUGAAAUGUAUCACUGUGAUUUUUUUUCUAAGGUGGUGGGCUAGUAUUUGAAGCCAUUUAAAAGCCAUAUUCUUUCUGUCUCUCACUCCUUGCAUGGCAGUCACCACAUUGGUGACAUCUUCUUGGGUGCCUGUGGUCUUGCCUUCCUUAGUCUUCCACAUUCUAUGAAGGUAUCUAAUUGGCAUCCCCUUCUGUUUUUGUUUGUUUGUUUGUUUUGUUUUCCCACUAGGCAAAAUGAAGAAGCCAGUGCUAAGGUGAAGGUGAGACUGUAUUGAACUACAGAGGAGCAGAAGGUCACAUGGCUGGAUUUCCUUAAUGUGUAAGUCUAGAAACCACCACAGACAGAGCAUUUUCAGAUGAUAUUACCCUGGAAUCCUUUAAUGAAAAUUUCAUGUUAUGUAUACUGCCUUUAUUGGGAUUCAUCUGCAUUUGAAGAUACUGGCCUUAUGU
RNAcentral lists this long non-coding RNA (823 nucleotides) under Marmota monax (woodchuck). The record is from RNAcentral. Lineage: Eukaryota; Metazoa; Chordata; Mammalia; Rodentia; Sciuridae.